GGGGUUAUGGUUCAGCGGUAGAGCGCUUGCCUAGCACGCAGGAGGCCCUGGGUUCAAUCCUCAGCACCA
Ictidomys tridecemlineatus (thirteen-lined ground squirrel) is the source of this 69-nucleotide non-coding RNA. The record is from Rfam. Lineage: Eukaryota; Metazoa; Chordata; Mammalia; Rodentia; Sciuridae.